UGGGUUUACGUAAGGGUGGAGUUGAUCAAACGACGGAGAAUGCUUUUGAUGCAUCUUUUUACCUCCGUAAUAUGCUGUGAUGUUUUCUAGCUUGUUUAGAGGGCUGGUUAGGACAACUUUUUUUUUUUUUUUUUUGGAAUUUUUAUUUGGAAGACUUGGUAAUUCUUAAAUGAAAUGUUUUCUUUGACAUUAUUCGCGUCUCAAUGUCGACAUUUUGUGUACUAUUUUCUACUUUUGAGGAAGCAACCCAUGAAAGAUUCAUGUCAAAGGCUAAGGCAACUAAAAAAGUAUAAUCCAUAUUUAACGGAAACAAAAGCAGUGAAAACAUGUCAAAUACAAGUAUGCAAAUAAUAGUGUAACACAUCAAAAGACGGAGAAUGCUUUGAUGCAUCUUUUUAGGAAAAUGCUUUGAUGCUUUGGAUUGCAGCACAUACUAAGAAGGGUGGUGGACCAUCCAAUUUGCUUGCUGCAGAGACUAUUGAAAGAAAAAAUUAUGCAACAUGAAAAUGGAUCAUCAUCUAUCUGGUUUUCGAAGUGACGCUCCUUCCAAAGUUUUUGGUGCUGAGCAAAAUGGUCGUGCAAGAGGAGUUGGAGGUGGCGUUCCUCCUACAAAGCUUGAAGUAUUUUCACAACAGAAAUGGUGUAAUCACCAAAGGGAUGAAAAGGUGCACAAUUUGACUAAUAGGUCUGAGCAUUGACGGAAUUGGUGCAUCUUUUUAUGAAAAAUAAGAUUGAGACAUUAGAAUUUGGAUUGAAGCCAAUGAAUUGCCAGGGCAUUGUUUGCUGUUGCAGGAUAGGGAUCGUUCUGUGGGAAAGGUAGUAUCUAUACGAGCAUGAUUGCCUUUCGCAAAUGUUAUAUUAAAAGCAUUCUUUCUAAUUUUUACCCUUUUUGGAUUUCUUAGUUUGAGGUGAAAAUGGAAUUUGGAGAAAAAAUGAAUCUCAUUUUGGGUUAAC
This is a long non-coding RNA of Pyrus x bretschneideri (Chinese white pear), 954 nucleotides long. RefSeq lists it as uncharacterized. The transcript is spliced from 3 exons. The record is from RefSeq and is a predicted model, not a curated record. NCBI's taxonomy places the organism in Eukaryota, Viridiplantae, Streptophyta, Magnoliopsida, Rosales, Rosaceae.